GACGAACGCUGGCGGCGUGCUUAACACGUGCAAGUCGAACGGAAAGGCCCUGCUUUUGUUGGGUUCUCGAUUGGCGAACGGGUGAGUAACACGUGAGUAACCUGCCCUUGACUUUGGGAUAACUUCAGGAAACUGGGGCUAAUACCGGAUAUGAGCUCCUGCUGCAUGUUGGGGGUUGGAAAGUUUCGGCUGUUGGGGAUGGACUCGCGGCUUAUCAGCUUGUUGGUCUGGUAGUGGCUUACCAAGGCUUUGACGGGUAGCCGGCCUGAGAGGGUGACCGGCCACAUUGGGACUGAGAUACGGCCCAGACGCCUACGGGAGGCAGCAGUGGGGAAUAUUGCACAAUGGGCGGAAGCCUGAUGCAGCAACGCCGCGUGCGGGAUGACGGCCUUCGGGUUGUAAACCGCUUUCGCCUGUGACGAAGCGUGAGUGACGGUAAUGGGUAAAGAAGCACCGGCUAACUACGUG
Molecule: ribosomal RNA, 468 nt
Filed under: uncultured bacterium
Lineage: Bacteria
Description: partial 16S ribosomal RNA
Rfam family: Bacterial small subunit ribosomal RNA
Source: RNAcentral